RNAcentral lists this unclassified non-coding RNA (191 nucleotides) under soil metagenome. RNAcentral describes it as "partial internal transcribed spacer 1". The record is from RNAcentral.
CUAGAAGUUUGGUAACGGUUGGGUAAAGACUCCGGUAAAGGAUCUUCGUCCCGCCUACCAAUCUCCAACCCUUGUGGUUAAUGCUAUAACGUUGCUUUGGCGGGGGUUUAACGGCCCUCGCCAAAAGACAUAACCAAACUCUUGAAUCAAUUUAACCCGUCAAGGCCUCUGGUCUUAACAACAAUCAUGAA